Molecule: ribosomal RNA, 296 nt
Filed under: uncultured bacterium
Lineage: Bacteria
Description: partial 16S ribosomal RNA
Rfam family: Bacterial small subunit ribosomal RNA
Source: RNAcentral
GGAUUAGAUACCCUGGUAGUCCACACCGUAAACGAUGAGAGCUAGUUGUUGGCAGGCAUGCCUGUCGGUGACGCAGCUAACGCAUUAAGCUCUCCGCCUGGGGAGUACGGCCGCAAGGUUAAAACUCAAAGAAAUUGACGGGGGCCCGCACAAGCGGUGGAGCAUGUGGUUUAAUUCGAAGCAACGCGCAGAACCUUACCUACCCUUGACAUCCCGAUCGCGGUUUCCAGAGAUGGAUUCCUUCAGUUAGGCUGGAUCGGUGACAGGUGCUGCAUGGCUGUCGUCAGCUCGUGCCG